This 1111-nucleotide long non-coding RNA is filed under the name Macaca mulatta (Rhesus monkey). RNAcentral describes it as "lncRNA (ENSMMUG00000058397.1)". The record is from RNAcentral. Lineage: Eukaryota; Metazoa; Chordata; Mammalia; Primates; Cercopithecidae.
UAGAAUGGAGAUACCACACUUUCUGAAGUGCUUAUGAGACUUGCAGGAGGGAGGAAUCUCCCAGUGUUUGUGCCACGUUUUGAUCUGACUUAAAGCCGUAAACACAGCUGAAGCCUGGGCCAUCCACAGAAGACCCAGUGUUCUCUUUCUCCAGCCCAUUGUUUUCAGAAGAGUAUGUGUUUCUCAUGGGCAAAGGAGAGAAUCCAGAGUGAGAAGCUGAAGAAAGUGUGAAGUGCUAGAUUGGCGUGAUUUCAAAAGAAACACUGGGGUACACCUGAAAGGGGGAACAGGCAGACAUGAAGAAGAAAACAACCCUGGCGUCCGGGUGCUGAUUGCCUUUUUUAUUCGCUUGAAAAGCCUCUCAGUGGAUUGAUUUGUGAUUUGGAUACCACUUCUCCAGCUCGGGACUCUGAAGUCUGUGCUUGUCGUACACUUCAGACAGUCAGCAGCCUGCUCAUAGCAGGAAAAAUGACAUCAUUUGAAUGAAAGAGUGAAUAUUAGAGGAAGGCCUGGCUUUGGAAGAGUCCAGUCUGAUAAAGAAGAUGAGUGUGGACACAACUAUGACAGAACCAAACUGAGCACACUCAUAGACACAGAAACACGUGCACACACAGUCUAGAGAUGCACAGCUCUGCAAGUGUUAAUUGCCACCUUUCAAGUAAAGAAAGUAACGUCACACUCAUGAUGGAACAAUGUCUGUCCAGGAUACUCUUCCGGAGCUAACAGAGGGCACAAAUACGAGCAGCUUGCAUAGCUAAGGCCAGGAGGAUUCCAGCAGGCAGCCAUUGCUUUGGGAGCUUUUGCCUGAGGAAGUUGUUCAGAGCUAGAAAACAGAAGCUGCUUCGCCUCCAAGCUCUGGUUUUCAUUUGCAGAAGUGAUCCUACAUUACAUUUGGCCAUCACGUCUCCCUGGACUCUUCUUGGCUGUGACAGUUUCUCAGACUUUCCUUGUUUCGAUCCCCUUGACAGCUUGAGGAGGACUGGCUAAGUAUUUUUUAGGAUGUCUCUGUAUUAACAAUUGUCUAAUGUUUUUCUCGCGAUUGAACUGGAGUUUCAAUAAUAUAUUCAAAACAAUCCUUCUCACAUCCUGCCCUUCAAAAAAAAAAAAAAAA